Long non-coding RNA from Panicum hallii, 1218 nucleotides. RefSeq lists it as uncharacterized. The transcript has 2 exons. The record is from RefSeq and is a predicted model, not a curated record. NCBI's taxonomy places the organism in Eukaryota, Viridiplantae, Streptophyta, Magnoliopsida, Poales, Poaceae.
UUCCCUCCCUCUCGCGAUAGGGUUCGCGUUCCUCAGCACUGUCGCCCCCGACACUACCGUCUUCCCCGAGCUCUGUGCCUCCAUGCUCGCACCACAAAUCCCGUGCCGCCCGAGGAUGGAGGACCUCAUGGCAAACUCGCGUGGUCGGCGGGCGUAGCGGGGAGGCGUGAUGGGCGGCACGGCGGGGGCAGGAGGGCGGGCGGCGCAGCUGGGGAGGAGGGCAGGUUGCACGACGGGGGUAGGAGGGCAGGCAGUGCGGCUGGGGAGGAGGGCGGGUUGCACGGCGGGGGCAGGAGGACGGGCGGCGCGGCUGGGGAGGAGGGUGGGCGCCGUUGCGAGCAGGCAGGAUGAGGCCGGGCGGCGGCAGGGCCGCGCGGCUGGAAGGAGGCAGCGGUGCUGCGCGGCGAGCGGGCGGCAGGUGGCUAGAGGAGGUAGGGCGACUCGGCUGGAGGGUGGAGGCCAUGCUGCAGGUGGGGCGGCGCCGCAGGUGUGAGGAGGAAGGAGGCAGAGCAGACAACUGGGUUUUUCAGGCAGAGCUCUCUGUUAAUUAAUUCGUAGUACAAAUUUUAGAUGGAUAAGUCUACAAAAGUUCAGACAAAAUGGGAUCCUUUUGCUAUCAAGAUGUUCAAUGAAAUCUGUACAGAAAAAGUUCUUGCUCACAAUAGGCCGCAAUGGUGCUUGAAUAGUUUGGGUUAUGCAAACCUUAUAAGGAAGUUCCAGGAACGUACUAGUAGAUCUUACACCCAAGAGCAAAUGAAGAACACAUGGAAUUCAUUGAAGAAAAAAAUAUGUCCAAUGGAAGACUUUGAAUAGCAGAGCUACUGGAUUGGGGAGGAAUCCUUUGAAUGGAUGCAUUGCAGCCUCUGAAGAUUGGUGGAAGGAACAAAAUGAGGCCAUGCCCGGCUAUAUCACUUUCCAAACCGCAUCAUUUGAGCAUAAAGACUUGCUAAGGGGCAUAUUCAACUCAUAUUCACAAAUCAAAUGAGCUAUCAUUAGCAUUAGGGGCAUGUAUGCCAUUUUACACACAGGAGAAAAUCUAAUAGAAAUGAUCAGGGUUGCCAAACGACCAGCUUAUUCAGGCCAGCCAGCGGAUUCUGCAGACGACAACAUAUUCUCACUAAAUCCAGCUUCUCAGACAAUCGAUUCUCAUAAAAGCUGAAACAAACAAGACCUUUAGUCUGUCAGGCAAAAUAGGACAGCUGAGUUUUGACUUGGUUU